CAGUGUUACAACUCCUUUAGAUUUGGUCUAGCUGGUCUUCCAGUUUUCAACAGAAACCCCU
This 61-nucleotide small nuclear RNA is filed under the name Tupaia belangeri (northern tree shrew). RNAcentral's name for it is "U7 small nuclear RNA (ENSTBEG00000020478.1)". Lineage: Eukaryota; Metazoa; Chordata; Mammalia; Scandentia; Tupaiidae. The record is from RNAcentral.